GGAUUUGGAGAGCAGAAGGGAAGCAGCAGCCACUUUGUAGCUCACCUGUUGACUCACUUGGUGUGAGCCAGCAGCUGAGUGAAAUGGUUCUAUCUUCCCCUAGAUCCUCUUUAGCUUCUCCAACUCCUGGGCCAGCUGGGUAUAUGCUUUGCUUUGCAGCAAAGGGUUUCAGCUUCCGCAGGAUUCCUGCAUCACCAAGUGGGACGCUGCGAGACCUUACACAAGUUUCAGUUCAUCCUCGUGAGCUCCAGCUUAUACUUAAGGGUUCCUGCUUGCUCUUACUCUACCCACUUUGUAUUAGUUUUCCCUUCUAUAUUCUUGUGCUGUGGACUUCAAGCUCCGGUAUCAGGUCUGAAGACAGCAACCUUAAAAAUGUUGGUUAAUGAGCUCCCACAACCGAGAAAAGGAGUUUAGAACAUAGACAAGAACAUAGGAAGGACCAUGUGAAGACAGAGGAAGAAGAGAGCCAUCUAUGAGCCAAGGAGAGAGGCCUCAGAAGAAACCAACUCUGAUGACACCUUGACCUUGGACUUCCACCCUCCAGAAUUUUUUGCUGGGCUUCAUCUGAAGAACCAGAUACAGUGUACCGGCCUGACGCCCAGAUUAUCUUCUCCUCCAGGGGGAGAGGGAGAAUCAAGAGUCUGUAUUUUAUAAGUCCCCAAGGUUGCUGAACCCUCGUUUCCUUAGAGCAUUGACUUGAGAAAACUUGCGAUUAUAAAUUCCUUCUGUAUCCCUUUGAGAUAUGUAAUGAGAAGAUGGCCAUCUGCAAACCAGGAAUAGGGCCCUCACUGGACACUGGAUCUGCUGGUGAUUUGAUGUUGGACUUCCCAGUCUCCAGAACUAUAAGCAAUAAAUUUCUGUUGUUUAAACUACCCAAUCUAUAGUAUGUUUGUUAUAGCGAACCAAACUGACUAAGACAAACAAGUUGAAGAUUUCCGGUUACCUAGAACACAGCUCAUGAGACAUUCUUCCACUAAUCUAUGUGUUUUUAUAAUUAGUUAUGUUAACUAAUAUAAUUUUUUUUCAUUUUUCUGGGUUUUUUUGAGGAAGAUUAGCCCUGAGUGAACAUCUGCCACCAAUCCUCCUCUUUUUUGCUGAGGAAGACUGGCCCUGAGCUAACAUCCAUGCCCAUCUUCCUCUACUUUAUAUGUGGGAUGGCUGGCACAGCAUUGCUUAACAAGCAGUGCAUAGGAGGCUGGCUCCAAUAUAAUUCUCUUGUUUUCCUACUUAUUCUAUUGUAUUUGUUAAAGGGUUUUCUAGAAAAUAAAAUCUAUAAGGAAGAAAAUAAAAAUAAUUUAUAAUCAAACGUUGUUAACAUUUUUUGGAGUGUUUUCCAGUAGUAUUUUAUAUUUAUACAUUUUAAUAUGCCUGAAAUAUAUAUAGUGUGUAUAUAUGUUUUCUUGUUAGACUUUUAAAUGCAGUGUUAUAUAUGUUUUAAUGCCUGCAAUUAACUUUAGAAUUCUUCAGUAUCAACAACAUAUUAUACUGUCUUAGCUAUGCUCUGGAGGCUGUUCCUAAGUCAGUAAUUCUCACUCCAGGAGUAGUCAACGAGCAUUUAUCAGAAAUAACACACUACAGAGGCUGCUACAAUGAGUAAUCUAGCCAUCUCUCCCUCCCGUCUGCACCAGCUGCCUCGUAUAAUGUAUGUUAGAACUGAAUUUUUGUUGGUGAAAUUAGUUAAUUAGCAAAAUAAAUGUUAGAAAUAGUACUGAAGAUACAGAGAUUAUCUAGAAUAU
Molecule: long non-coding RNA, 1736 nt
Filed under: Equus caballus (horse)
Lineage: Eukaryota; Metazoa; Chordata; Mammalia; Perissodactyla; Equidae
Description: lncRNA (ENSECAG00000054731.1)
Source: RNAcentral